UGGGGAAUAUUGGACAAUGGGCGCAAGCCUGAUCCAGCCAUGCCGCGUGAGUGAAGAAGGCCCUAGGGUUGUAAAACUCUUUCAGCGGGGAAGAUAAUGACGGUACCCGCAGAAGAAGCCCCGGCUAACUCCGUGCCAGCAGCCGCGGUAAUACGGAGGGGGCUAGCGUUGUUCGGAAUUACUGGGCGUAAAGCGCGCGUAGGCGGUCCGCAUAGUCAGGCGUGAAAGCCCCGGGCUCAACCUGGGAACUGCGCUUGAUACUGGCGGGCUAGAGUCCGGGAGAGGGUAGUGGAAUUCCCAGUGUAGAGGUGAAAUUCGUAGAUAUUGGGAAGAACACCAGUGGCGAAGGCGGCUACCUGGACCGGUACUGACGCUGAGGUGCGAAAGCGUGGGGAGCAAACAGGAUUAGAUACCCGCGUAGUCC
Molecule: ribosomal RNA, 424 nt
Filed under: uncultured prokaryote
Description: bacterial SSU rRNA
Rfam family: Bacterial small subunit ribosomal RNA
Source: RNAcentral